CACGGGGGGAGCAAGCGUUGUUCGGAAUCACUGGGCGUAAAGGGCGUGUAGGCGGUCAGGGAAGUGGGAUGUGAAAUGCCCCGGCUCAACUGGGGAGGGUCACGCGAUACUGGUCGACUCGAAGGCAGGAGAGGGUAGUGGAAUUCCCGGUGUAGUGGUGAAAUGCGUAGAUAUCGGGAGGAACACCAGUGGCGAAGGCGGCUCACUGGCCCGGUACUGACGCUGAGGCGCGAAAGCGUGGGGAGCAAACAGG
RNAcentral lists this ribosomal RNA (253 nucleotides) under uncultured bacterium. Its description in RNAcentral is "partial 16S ribosomal RNA". It matches the Rfam family "Bacterial small subunit ribosomal RNA", at positions 524 to 776 of the family's 1533-position model. The record is from RNAcentral.